This 253-nucleotide ribosomal RNA is filed under the name uncultured bacterium. Its description in RNAcentral is "partial 16S ribosomal RNA". It matches the Rfam family "Bacterial small subunit ribosomal RNA", at positions 524 to 776 of the family's 1533-position model. The record is from RNAcentral.
UACAGAGGUCUCAAGCGUUGUUCGGAUUCAUUGGGCGUAAAGGGUGCGUAGGCGGCGCUGUUAGUCGGGUGUGAAAUCCCAGGGCUCAACCCUGGAACUGCGCCCGAUACUGCAGUGCUUGAGGGAGACAGAGGUAAGCGGAACUGAUGGUGGAGCGGUGAAAUGCGUUGAUAUCAUCAGGAACACCGGUGGCGAAAGCGGCUCACUGGGUCUCUUCUGACGCUGAGGUGCGAAAGCGUGGGGAGCAAACAGG